RNAcentral lists this ribosomal RNA (253 nucleotides) under uncultured bacterium. Its description in RNAcentral is "partial 16S ribosomal RNA". It matches the Rfam family "Bacterial small subunit ribosomal RNA", at positions 524 to 776 of the family's 1533-position model. The record is from RNAcentral.
UACGAAGGGGGCUAGCGUUGUUCGGAAUCACUGGGCGUAAAGCGCACGUAGGCGGAUUGCUAAGUCAGGGGUGAAAUCCUGGAGCUCAACUCCAGAACUGCCUUUGAUACUGCAAAUCUCGAGUCCGGAAGAGGUGAGUGGAAUUCCUAGUGUAGAGGUGAAAUUCGUAGAUAUUAGGAAGAACACCAGUGGCGAAGGCGGCUCACUGGUCCGGUACUGACGCUGAGGUGCGAAAGCGUGGGGAGCAAACAGG